RNAcentral lists this ribosomal RNA (120 nucleotides) under uncultured bacterium. Its description in RNAcentral is "partial 16S ribosomal RNA". It matches the Rfam family "Bacterial small subunit ribosomal RNA", at positions 28 to 144 of the family's 1533-position model. The record is from RNAcentral.
GACGAACGCUGGCGGCGUGCUUAACACAUGCAAGUCGAACGAUGAACUUGGAGCUUGCUCUGGGGGAUUAGUGGCGAACGGGUGAGUAACACGUGAGUAACCUGCCCUGGACUCUGGGAU